AACGAACGCUGGCGGCAGGCCUAACACAUGCAAGUCGAACGCUGUAGCAAUACAGAGUGGCAGACGGGUGAGUAACACGUGGGAACGUACCCUUCGGUUCGGAAUAACACAGAGAAAUUUGUGCUAAUACCGGAUACGUCCGAGAGGAGAAAGAUUUAUCGCCGAAGGAUCGGCCCGCGUCUGAUUAGCUUGUUGGUGAGGUAAUGGCUCACCAAGGCGACGAUCAGUAGCUGGUCUGAGAGGAUGAUCAGCCACACUGGGACUGAGACACGGCCCAGACUCCUACGGGAGGCAGCAGUGGGGAAUAUUGGACAAUGGGCGCAAGCCUGAUCCAGCCAUGCCGCGUGAGUGAUGAAGGCCCUAGGGUUGUAAAGCUCUUUUACCCGGGAAGAUAAUGACGGUACCGGGAGAAUAAGCCCCGGCUAACUUCGUG
RNAcentral lists this ribosomal RNA (433 nucleotides) under uncultured bacterium. RNAcentral's name for it is "bacterial SSU rRNA". It matches the Rfam family "Bacterial small subunit ribosomal RNA", at positions 29 to 507 of the family's 1533-position model. The record is from RNAcentral.